Molecule: unclassified non-coding RNA, 339 nt
Filed under: soil metagenome
Description: partial contains 5.8S ribosomal RNA, internal transcribed spacer 2, and large subunit ribosomal RNA
Rfam family: 5.8S ribosomal RNA (bases 1-120)
Source: RNAcentral
GAUGAAGAACGAAGCGAAAUGCGAUAAGUAGUGUGAAUUGCAGAAUUCAGUGAAUCAUCGAAUCUUUGAACGCACAUUGCGCCCCUCGGUAUUCCGUGGGGCAUGCCUGUUCGAGCGUCAUUUAACCCCUCAAGCCUAGCUUGGUAUUGGGUGCUUGUCCCGCCUCUCGCGCGGCGACUCACCUCAAAGUCAUUGGCAGCCCGCAUCUCGCCGGCCGUGAGCGCAGCACAGACGCGCUCUUGGCAACGACGGAUCGGCUCUCCAAAAGCUUAUUUCAACCACUGACCUCGGAUCAGGUAGGGAUACCCGCUGAACUUAAGCAUAUCAAUAAGCGGAGGA